GCAUAUCAAUAAGCGGAGGAAAAGAAAAUAACAAUGAUUUCCCUAGUAACGGCGAGUGAAGAGGAAAGAGCUCAAAGUUGGAACCUGUUUGGCCUAGCUAAACCGGAUUGUAGACUGUAGAAGUGUUUUCCAGGCAAGCCGAGUAAAUAAGUCCUUUGGAACAGGGCAUCAUAGAGGGUGAGAAUCCCGUCUUUGGCUUGAGCAUUUGCCUUUUGUGAUACGCUUUCAAAGAGUCAGGUUGUUUGGGAAUGCAGCCUAAAUUGGGUGGUAAAUCUCACCUAAAGCUAAAUAUUGGCGAGAAACCGAUAGCGAACAAGUACCGUGAGGGAAAGAUGAAAAGAACUUUGAAAAGAGAGUUAAACAGUAUGUGAAAUUGUUAAAAGGGAACCGUUUGGAGCCAGACUGGCUUGUCUGUAAUCAAUCUAGGCUUCGGCCUGGAUGCACUUGCAGGCUAUGCCUGCCAACGACAAUUUGACUUGAGGGAAAAAACUAAGGGAAAUGUGGCCCACUUGUGGGUGUUAUAGUCCCUUAGAAAAUACCUUGGGUUGGAUUGAGGAACGCAGCGAAUGCUUUUUGGCGAGUUUUCCAGGAAGGUUUUCUGAGGUACUACGGUAUCAAGGUUGAUCUUUUUGGUUAUACUUCUAUUCGCUUAGGUUGUUGGCUUAAUGACUCUAAAUGACCCGUCUUGAAACACGGACCAAGGAGUCCACCAUUAGUGCGAGUAUUUGGGUGCCAAACCCAUAUGCGUAAGGAAACUGAUUGAUACGAAUCCAUUAAGGAGGCAGUAUCGUCCGGCGCUGACGUUUUAUACUGAAUUGACCGAGACAAAGCACUAAUGAUGGGACCCGAAAGAUGGUGAACUAUGCCUGAAUAGGGUGAAGCCAGAGGAAACUCUGGUGGAGGCUCGUAGCGAUUCUGACGUGCAAAUCGAUCGUCAAAUUUGGGUAUAGGGGCGAAAGACUAAUCGAACCAUCYAGUAGCUGGUCUGC
This 989-nucleotide ribosomal RNA is filed under the name Rhizopus arrhizus. Its description in RNAcentral is "LSU rRNA". It matches the Rfam family "Eukaryotic large subunit ribosomal RNA", at positions 38 to 959 of the family's 3401-position model. The record is from RNAcentral. Lineage: Eukaryota; Fungi; Mucoromycota; Mucoromycetes; Mucorales; Rhizopodaceae.